Molecule: long non-coding RNA, 1012 nt
Organism: Xenopus tropicalis (tropical clawed frog)
Lineage: Eukaryota; Metazoa; Chordata; Amphibia; Anura; Pipidae
Exons: 2
Source: RefSeq, a predicted model, not a curated record
GUAACUUUAAGAGAUGAAUUUCCGGUUUGUAAAACAGAAAUAUGUCUCUGCUAAUGUAGAGAUCGCGAUGCCACCCACUACACUAGCGAUGCGGCCCCCCUGGCCCCCUCAGCUGCUGUAAAGGUAAGCGAGGUGGGGUGGCAUUGGGGGGGCCAAAACGCCCCUGACUCCCCAACCCCACAAAUGCCAUGCUGCCCCUGUCUAACAUACCCCAAACUCCAAAGUAAGUAAGAUGCGACGCCCUGAGAGGGGAUGUUGGGAGUGUUAGUUGCACAACAGGAUUUCAGCUGGAGACAAGGCCCCACAAUCUGCUUGGUGCAUAAAAGAGGGAACGACACCUGGAUUCACAAAAGAAAGUGGAUUUUAUUCACCUGCAAUAGGAAAAUAUUCUCUGUGAGAAACUUAUUAAAGAGCUUUGUCUAUUUACAGUCACACAGUUUCCAUUUUCUUUUCCCUUUUUCAGUAAUUAUUACGGGAGUUUAUUUCUGUGAGACAAGAGACGUUGUUGCUGCCAUGGAACCAAACAGGACUGUCCUGCCUGUUACUGGGAUGUGAGACUUCAGUCAUGUGACCUUUAUGUGUUACAAUGGGUGCUACCACCUCGGGCACAGACGGGGGAGCACCCUGGCGACCCAGGCAAUCCCGGCAUGAGGAAACCAAUCCUGAAGGGCCCAUCACUGUUGGGGUCUGAAGUGCCUACCCUACCUGCCAGCUGACUGUGCUCCCAGCUUUCCUGGUUCCCUAGAAUAAACCUGAGAUUCUACUGUGAAAGUCACAAACAACCACAAGGUGGUGCUAGAGGGCUACCUACUGUCAGAGAAAUGCUUCACUACCUCUAACUACCACAAGGCGGGGACAGAGUACAGCCAAGUGCCAAAUAAUUAAUUCACUACUACUUCUGUUCUGCCUACUGUCAGAGAAAUGCUUCACUACCUCUAAUUACCACAAGGUGGGGACAGAGUACAGCCAAGUGCCAAAUAAUAAAUUCACUACUACUUCUUAAUGCCUUUAA